CUGAGACCAAACCCAUCUCAAUAUUUCAAACUCUCUUUCUCACUCUCUUCUCAAUAUUUCAAACCCACGGUUCAAAAAAACAAAAAUAAAAUUUCAAACCCAUUUCUCACUUGCCUCGCCUUGUUGUCACGGUGUGAAACACAAACAAAAGAAACCCACUUCUCUCUCGCCUCGCCGUCACAGUGAGGAUAUCUACGAUUUGAUCAAGCUUUUAACUUAGCUCCUGGCUCAGUUCCUUGCUCACCACAUAGAUUGAAAUCCCUAACCCAUGAACUCAGCUCCUUGCUCUCAUGCAUUCAAGCUCGUGGGUCAUGACUCAUGAGGCAUACAGGAUUCAAGCUCGAUCCCUCACCCAUGAACUCAGCUCCUAGCUCACCUUAGACUAUGGGUUUCCAAAUUUCUACAGGCAACGGAGCAGAGGCUACAGGAAGAGAGAGAAGAUGCUGCUCAUUUGCCUGGGGCAGUCUCUGGUGAUAAGUGGGAUGCUACUCUGCUUGAUGCUUCUUUUGUUGGCUAAAUAGGUGGGGGGAAAAUGGGUCAUUAGGUGGGUAGGUAUUAGUGGGAAAAUGCCAUAAUUUUGGUGUAUGUUGGUAGGUUUUGGUAGAAUGUUUGUGUUGGUAUGUGUUGGCCUGAAUUUGUGUUGGUAUGUAUUAGUGGAAAAAGGCCUGAAUUUUGGUAUAAUUCUCACUGUAAUUUGAGACUUUAGCAAUGGAACAUGGUUUUUUUAAUUAA
Long non-coding RNA from Quercus robur (English oak), 732 nucleotides. RefSeq lists it as uncharacterized. The transcript is spliced from 2 exons. NCBI's taxonomy places the organism in Eukaryota, Viridiplantae, Streptophyta, Magnoliopsida, Fagales, Fagaceae. The record is from RefSeq and is a predicted model, not a curated record.